This 407-nucleotide ribosomal RNA is filed under the name uncultured bacterium. RNAcentral's name for it is "bacterial SSU rRNA". It matches the Rfam family "Bacterial small subunit ribosomal RNA", at positions 354 to 777 of the family's 1533-position model. The record is from RNAcentral.
GCAGGGAAUUUUGCGCAAUGGGCGAAAGCCUGACGCAGCGACGCCGCGUGAGGGAAGAAGGCCUUCGGGUUGUAAACCUCUUUUCUGGGGGAAGAGCAAGGACGGUACCCCAGGAAUAAGCCCCGGCUAACUACGUGCCAGCAGCCGCGGUAAUACGUAGGGGGCGAGCGUUGUCCGGAAUUACUGGGCGUAAAGGGCGCGUAGGCGGCCCAAAAAGUCUCCGGUGAAAUCUCCCGGCUUAACUGGGAGCGGUCCGGGGAAACUCUUGGGCUUGAGGACAGCAGAGGAGAGUGGAAUUCCCGGUGUAGUGGUGAAAUGCGUAGAUAUCGGGAGGAACACCAGUGGCGAAGGCGGCUCUCUGGGCUGUACCUGACGCUAAGGCGCGAAAGCGUGGGGAGCAAACCGGG